RNAcentral lists this ribosomal RNA (208 nucleotides) under uncultured bacterium. Its description in RNAcentral is "partial 16S ribosomal RNA". It matches the Rfam family "Bacterial small subunit ribosomal RNA", at positions 568 to 774 of the family's 1533-position model. The record is from RNAcentral.
CGCGUAGGUGGUUCAGCAAGUUGGAGGUGAAAUCCCCGGGCUCAACCUGGGAACUGCCUCCAAAACUAUUGAGCUAGAGUACGGUAGAGGGUAGUGGAAUUUCCUGUGUAGCGGUGAAAUGCGUAGAUAUAGGAAGGAACACCAGUGGCGAAGGCGACUACCUGGACUGAUACUGACACUGAGGUGCGAAAGCGUGGGGAAGCAAACA